Molecule: ribosomal RNA, 871 nt
Filed under: bacterium
Lineage: Bacteria
Description: bacterial SSU rRNA
Rfam family: Bacterial small subunit ribosomal RNA
Source: RNAcentral
GCAGGUCGAGCGGUAACAUUUCAAAAGCUUGCUUUUGAAGAUGACGAGCGGCGGACGGGUGAGUAAUGCCUGGGAAUUUGCCCAUUUGUGGGGGAUAACAGUUGGAAACGACUGCUAAUACCGCAUACGCCCUACGGGGGAAAGCAGGGGACCUUCGGGCCUUGCGCUGAUGGAUAAGCCCAGGUGGGAUUAGCUAGUAGGUGAGGUAAAGGCUCACCUAGGCGACGAUCCCUAGCUGGUCUGAGAGGAUGAUCAGCCACACUGGGACUGAGACACGGCCCAGACUCCUACGGGAGGCAGCAGUGGGGAAUAUUGCACAAUGGGGGAAACCCUGAUGCAGCCAUGCCGCGUGUGUGAAGAAGGCCUUCGGGUUGUAAAGCACUUUCAGCGAGGAGGAAAGGGUGUAAGUUAAUACCUUACAUCUGUGACGUUACUCGCAGAAGAAGCACCGGCUAACUCCGUGCCAGCAGCCGCGGUAAUACGGAGGGUGCGAGCGUUAAUCGGAAUUACUGGGCGUAAAGCGUGCGCAGGCGGUUUGUUAAGCGAGAUGUGAAAGCCCCGGGCUCAACCUGGGAACCGCAUUUCGAACUGGCAAACUAGAGUCUUGUAGAGGGGGGGUAGAAUUCCAGGUGUAGCGGUGAAAUGCGUAGAGAUCUGGAGGAAUACCGGUGGCGAAGGCGGCCCCCCUGGACAAANGACUGACGCUCAGGCACGAAAGCGUGGGGAAGCAAACAGGAAUUAGAUACCCUGGNUAGUCCACGCCGUAAACGAUGGUCUACUCGGAGUUUGGGUGUCUUGAAACACUGGGCUCUCAAGCUAACGCAUUAAAGUAGACCGCCCUGGGGAGUACGGCCGCCAAGGUUAAAAACUC